AAAUAACACAUUUUAUAUAUAUAUACACACACAUAUGUGUGUGUGUGUGUGUGUGUGUGUAUAUCCAGCAUACAAUUGCACUACCACAAGUAAUUACCAUAUCUA
This 105-nucleotide microRNA precursor is filed under the name Dasypus novemcinctus (nine-banded armadillo). RNAcentral describes it as "miRNA (ENSDNOG00000031844.1)". Lineage: Eukaryota; Metazoa; Chordata; Mammalia; Cingulata; Dasypodidae. The record is from RNAcentral.